AGUGGCGGACGGGUGAGUAACGCGUGAGUAACCUGCCUUUCAGAGGGGAAUAACAUUCUGAAAAGGAUGCUAAUACCGCAUAACAUCGUAGUAUCGCAUGGUACAGCGAUCAAAGGAGCAAUCCGCUGAAAGAUGGACUCGCGUCCGAUUAGCUAGUUGGCGGGAUAAAGGCCCACCAAGGCGACGAUCGGUAGCCGGACUGAGAGGUUGAUCGGCCACAUUGGGACUGAGACACGGCCCAGACUCC
This 247-nucleotide ribosomal RNA is filed under the name uncultured Bacillota bacterium. RNAcentral describes it as "uncultured Firmicutes bacterium partial 16S ribosomal RNA". It matches the Rfam family "Bacterial small subunit ribosomal RNA", at positions 94 to 339 of the family's 1533-position model. The record is from RNAcentral. Lineage: Bacteria; Bacillati; Bacillota.